Molecule: ribosomal RNA, 254 nt
Filed under: uncultured bacterium
Lineage: Bacteria
Description: partial 16S ribosomal RNA
Rfam family: Bacterial small subunit ribosomal RNA
Source: RNAcentral
GACGAACCGUGCGAACGUUAUUCGGAAUCACUGGGCUUAAAGCGCGUGUAGGCGGAUGGGGACGUCGGUCGCUGAAAUCCCCCGGCUCAACCGGGGAACUGGCCCCGAAACGCCCCGUCUGGAGGAACGUAGGGGGAUCUGGAACUUCCGGUGGAGCGGUGAAAUGCGUUGAGAUCGGAAGGAACGCCCGUGGCGAAAGCGAGGUCCUGGACGUCUGCUGACGCUGAGACGCGAAAGCCAGGGGAGCGAACGGG